UACGUAGGGACCGAGCGUUGUCCGGAAUCAUUGGGCGUAAAGAGCGUGUAGGCGGCCAACUAAGUCCUGCGUGAAAUCUCGGGGCUCAACCCCGAGCGGUCGUGGGAAACUGGUUGGCUAGAGUGCGGGAGAGGAGAGUGGAAUUCCUGGUGUAGCGGUGAAAUGCGCAGAUAUCAGGAGGAACACCAAUUGCGAAGGCAGCUCGCUGGGACGUUACUGACGCUGAGACGCGAAAGCGUGGGGAGCAAACAGG
This 253-nucleotide ribosomal RNA is filed under the name uncultured bacterium. RNAcentral's name for it is "partial 16S ribosomal RNA". It matches the Rfam family "Bacterial small subunit ribosomal RNA", at positions 524 to 776 of the family's 1533-position model. The record is from RNAcentral.